UUGGGACAGGAGAGUUGGAGCC
Molecule: microRNA, 22 nt
Filed under: Monodelphis domestica (gray short-tailed opossum)
Lineage: Eukaryota; Metazoa; Chordata; Mammalia; Didelphimorphia; Didelphidae
Description: mdo-miR-12386-5p
Source: miRBase by way of RNAcentral